RNAcentral lists this ribosomal RNA (253 nucleotides) under uncultured bacterium. Its description in RNAcentral is "partial 16S ribosomal RNA". It matches the Rfam family "Bacterial small subunit ribosomal RNA", at positions 524 to 776 of the family's 1533-position model. The record is from RNAcentral.
UACGUAGGGCGCAAGCGUUAUCCGGAAUUAUUGGGCGUAAAGAGCUCGUAGGCGGUUUGUCGCGUCUGCCGUGAAAGUCCGGGGCUCAACUCCGGAUCUGCGGUGGGUACGGGCAGACUAGAGUGAUGUAGGGGAGACUGGAAUUCCUGGUGUAGCGGUGAAAUGCGCAGAUAUCAGGAGGAACACCGAUGGCGAAGGCGGGUCUCUGGGCCGAUACUGACGCUGAGGAGCGAAAGCGUGGGGAGCGAACAGG